RNAcentral lists this ribosomal RNA (492 nucleotides) under uncultured bacterium. Its description in RNAcentral is "bacterial SSU rRNA". It matches the Rfam family "Bacterial small subunit ribosomal RNA", at positions 903 to 1397 of the family's 1533-position model. The record is from RNAcentral.
AAAGGAAUUGACGGGGGCCCGCACAAGCGGUGGAGCAUGUGGUUUAAUUCGAUGCAACGCGAAGAACCUUACCAGGGUUUGACAUCCCUUGUCAGCUGUAGAGAUACAGUGUCUCUUUUAGAGCAAGGAGACAGGUGGUGCAUGGUUGUCGUCAGCUCGUGUCGUGAGAUGUUGGGUUAAGUCCCGCAACGAGCGCAACCCCUAUCUUUAGUUGCCAUCAUUAAGUUGGGCACUUUAAAGAGACUGCCGGCUAAAAGUCGGAGGAAGGUGGGGAUGACGUCAAAUCAUCAUGCCCCUUAUGUCCUGGGCUACACACGUGCUACAAUGGCCUGUACAGAGGGCAGCGAAGUGGUGACAUGGAGCCAAUCUCAGAAAACAGGUCUCAGUUCGGAUUGUAGGCUGCAACUCGCCUACAUGAAGUCGGAAUCGCUAGUAAUCGCAGGUCAGCAUACUGCGGUGAAUACGUUCCCGGGCCUUGUACACACCGCCCGU